UACGGAGGGUGCAAGCGUUAAUCGGAAUCACUGGGCGUAAAGCGCACGUAGGCGGUCUGGUGUGUCAGGUGUGAAAUCCCCCGGCUUAACCGUGGAAUUGCACUUGAAACUACCAGACUUGAGUAUCGGAGAGGGUGGCGGAAUUCCAGGUGUAGGAGUGAAAUCCGUAGAUAUCUGGAGGAACACCAGUGGCGAAGGCGGCCACCUGGACGACUACUGACGCUGAGGUGCGAAAGCGUGGGGAGCAAACAGG
RNAcentral lists this ribosomal RNA (253 nucleotides) under uncultured bacterium. RNAcentral's name for it is "partial 16S ribosomal RNA". It matches the Rfam family "Bacterial small subunit ribosomal RNA", at positions 524 to 776 of the family's 1533-position model. The record is from RNAcentral.